UCAUUGCACACACGUAUGCAAGCAAAAACCCCCCUUGCGAAUUUGUGAAUGUCCCCACCCCGCCCUGGCCGAUUCUUCUUCAUUUGGGGGUCGCUACCCCAAUGAAGGAGGAGCGGCCGGGGCCCAAGUUCCCGCCUCCCGGACCGGUGAGGGGCCCCGCUCCCGCGUUUGGCUGGCUGGGGACUUGGUGUUUUUUUCCCCAAAAAAACAAACACCCCGAUGGCGCAAUGCAUCAACACUUUCAAAAUAUGACUGAGUACAGAGAUCGGCGCCGGGUGGCUCCGAGCCGGCCGGSGUCCGAGUUGUGAUAAACAAAAACAACUCUCAGCAACGGAUAUCUUGGCUCCUGCAACGAUGAAGAACGCAGCGAAAUGCGAUACGUAUUGUGAAUUGCAGAAUUCCGCGAAUCAUCGAGUCUUUGAACGCAAGUUGCGCCCGGGGCUUGCCCUCGGGCCUUUCUGUCAGAGCGUCACCGCGACACCCACCGACCCCCACUCCAUUCCACUCCACUCCGGGUGGUGUGGUGGGGGUUGAGUGAAAGUGGCCGUCCCSGCGGAUGGGGGCUGGAUCAACCCCCAAUGGCUUUGGGUUGGCUGAAAUGGAGGGAAUUUGGCCSCCGAGGUGACACGGCCCGCUGAUCAGGUGAUCCAAGUGCCSCUCUGGGAACUCAAUGUGUGUUGGCCGUG
RNAcentral lists this ribosomal RNA (686 nucleotides) under Grimmia ramondii. RNAcentral describes it as "eukaryotic LSU rRNA". The stretch from base 320 to 472 matches the Rfam family "5.8S ribosomal RNA". Lineage: Eukaryota; Viridiplantae; Streptophyta; Bryopsida; Grimmiales; Grimmiaceae. The record is from RNAcentral.